Molecule: long non-coding RNA, 1567 nt
Organism: Crotalus tigris (Tiger rattlesnake)
Lineage: Eukaryota; Metazoa; Chordata; Lepidosauria; Squamata; Viperidae
Exons: 3
Source: RefSeq, a predicted model, not a curated record
UCUGUGUAGAGGGAGAAAAAGACAGUUGUAAUAAUCAAUGGUCUUGAUCCCAGCCUGUCCUAUACCUGUGAUUUCUAGAUGACUGACAACUUGAAAUGUCCAAAUAUAUGCUACAGUAUUUAGAAAAAAGCAGUAUUUUGAACCUUUUUGGUAGACAUUUUUAUGACAUACUGUAGUUCCCACAUUGUGCCAAACUGUGAAUGACCAGAAAAUUAUUUCUGGAAUAAAUCACAAUGGCUGGAUUCACAAAAAAUUGAAGGGAAAAUAUGGCUUGUUUAUAACUUAAUGUGUGAAGUGUAUUGAGUCAAGUACACAAACCAUGUUGUACAGUUUUAUGUAUUUUGUCUAUUAUUCCUAUGGGAUCUUUUCAGAAGAAAAGUUUUGCUACAACCAGUUGUGACUUAUUAAAUAUACCAAUAUUAACAAACAUGGCUUGUAGAGGUUUUGUAUACUGCAAGUAUAUUUGUAUCAACCAGAUGAAUUGAUAAAAGCCUCAUUCCCAAACAACAUUAAAGCAUGCAUUCAGCUCAUAGAUCAUAACUAAACCCAAAUUAAAUGUCAUAUAUUAAGCCCAACACCACUUGCAAAAUUUAGGAAUACUAGGACUGGAGAACUUUUUUUAAUUAUAGCUACUAACUACUAAGGUUAAUGGCUACUAACACUAAUUGGCAGAAAUACAAAAUAUGUUCCAGGAUUCCCUAUCAUAGAUAGAGAGGGAGCUAAAACUGGUGACCUAAUUAGGAGUUCACAAUUAAGUUUGCUCUAAUUUGCUAGUCACAUAUUCCUUCAGGAAGAACCUCCAUUCCACGAAUUGGAAUUUGAGAUACAAAUAAAAUGAUAAUGCAACAUGUAAAUUAAAAUCUUUGAAGCUUUAUGAUCAUUUUAAACAUCCUUUCCUCAUGCUCAGACGUCAGUAUCGUCAUUUGAAAAGCCUCUUUGGUUUAAAGAUAUGUAUCAACCUCUGGAGGAAAUAAGGAAAAAAGACAUGAUUGAUAAAUUACAUGAUGAAGAGUCCUCAGAAAAGGAAAACAUAUACAAUUGGGCUAGUGCAAGACCUCCAGAAAUCCCUGAGCUUAUUCCUGUGGAAAAACUGGAUCUCUUUGUACUUUUUUUUUUUAAGAAGGAGGAAAGAAAAAAAAAUUCUUUUGUUUAAAAUGGCUUCAAAACAUCAAGUUUCCACAGUACCUAAGAUGGCUUCUUCUCCGGCGAUAUUACCAGCCCAACAAACAUCUUCUCCUCCUAUACAACCACUCACGGUAAAAGACUUGCAAGAUGUCAUGGGAAAUGUUAUAUCUCAAAUUAGAGGAGAAGUGAAGGAGAUUUUAGUGGAGAAUAACAAUAUUUUGAGGCAAGAUAUAGUUUUGGCCCUAAAAGGACUUGCUUCUGUUGUUGAAAAGUUGGAUUCUUGUGUUGAAGAAGUAGUAGAUAAAGUGGAUAUAUUGGAGGAAAAGUUUGAAGGAAUGGAAAAAAAGAUGGAAAUUUCACAAGAUGAAAUUGUUAUGUCUCAAUACAGAGAGAUGGAGUAUGCUUUAAGAAUCAGAGGCUUGAGGGAAAAUACGCAAGAAAA